Molecule: ribosomal RNA, 200 nt
Filed under: uncultured eukaryote
Lineage: Eukaryota
Description: partial 18S ribosomal RNA
Rfam family: Eukaryotic small subunit ribosomal RNA
Source: RNAcentral
GCUCCAAUAGCGUAUAUUAAAGUUGUUGCAGUUAAAAAGCUCGUAGUUGGAUUUGUGGCGUACGGCGGGUUCCAGGCACUUGUUGUCUGAGUAACUUGCCGUUGUCAUCCUUGGGUGGAACCUGUGUGGCAUUAGGUUGUCGUGCAGGGGAUGCCAUCGUUUACUGUGAAAAAAUUAGAGUGUUCAAAGCAGGCUUAUGC